This 233-nucleotide ribosomal RNA is filed under the name uncultured bacterium. RNAcentral describes it as "partial 16S ribosomal RNA". It matches the Rfam family "Bacterial small subunit ribosomal RNA", at positions 118 to 351 of the family's 1533-position model. The record is from RNAcentral.
UGAGCAAUUUGCCCUUCUCUUCGGAAUAAGCGUGGGAAACCGCGUCUAAUGCCGAAUACGACCUCCUUUCGCAUGAUCGGAGGUGGAAAGCUCCGGCGGAGAAGGAUGAGCUCGCGGCCUAUCAACUUGUUGGUGUGGGUAACGGCCCACCAAGGCGACGACGGGUAGCCGGCCUGAGAGGGUGACCGGCCACACUGGGACUGAGACACGGCCCAGACUCCUACGAGAGGCAG